Molecule: long non-coding RNA, 1232 nt
Filed under: Dicentrarchus labrax (European seabass)
Lineage: Eukaryota; Metazoa; Chordata; Actinopteri; Moronidae
Description: lncRNA (ENSDLAG00005032952.1)
Source: RNAcentral
AUGGAAAUGGAAAAAACGGCCCCACAUUGUAUUCAAUUGGAAUGUAGGGAAAAAAUACUCUACCAUACAAAGCCAACAAUGUCCAAAAGGCACAUGUACUUGAGAUCGUGUAUGGGUUUCCACAUUGGACUUUGCAGUGAGGGUGGAUAUAGUAUCUAGAAACAGUCUGAUUUACAAAAAGUUGUAUUUAAGGGGGAGAGUGAACUGGUUUAUUUCUGCUCACUGUCCCUAAGUCUGUGUGCUGGUUUACAAACAUCUUGGCAAGGUAAGGCCAUCAUUGACCUGGGCUGAUUUGUCCAUCCUGGUUAGUGAGAGCAUAAAGGUACAAUAGGGCGAUCCAAGAUCAGAGGCAAGCACCACUUCAAUCCCAUAUACUAUCUUGAGCACCUGAAAUAUAUUUCAAACCGUAUCAAAGCUGCAUUCACAAAACUACUUAUUAAUUCUGACCAAACAGAACUGGAUUUGCUGUAAGUGCCGUAGCUUAGCUUAAAAUACUGCUGAGGAGAGCUUAGCUGAUAGCAGUGGCGAAAUGUAAGCAACGGGGAUAGCUCUCACCCUCAGGUGAUAAGCAACAAAUAAUCCAUCCCAAUCUGACACACCUGAUAUAUACACACUGUAGAAGCUCCCAGCCUCCGGCUCCACUGCAUGAGCUCUGCAGCAGUUCUGAUCAACUCUUUGAGGGACAGGGAAAUACUCAGCAGCAGUGCAGCAAGUAGGAAGAAGGAUGAAAAGUGAUAAUUGUACAACAUCUUGAUUACACGCAGGACAGCAGUGGUAUGUGUAUAGCAGGACAUAGGAAGGAGCUGUGUCACUGAGCUGUGUUCUGACAUCUAACUGUAAAAUGUUUCCAAGAAAAUGUAUCGUUUCUACUGUUGAUUUUUCUCUGCCAGUGUCUUGACUCAUGACAGGGCAAGCCUAGGGAUUUUCUCUCUUUUCCUUUGUACAUUUCAACUGCUAUUCUUAUGUACUACUAAAAACACAUUAUUGUUCCAAGACUAUUUAAAUAUAUGUCUUAAAGAUGCAGUAGGUAAGUAACGUUUAUCAUAUUUACUGAAACUUUCACUAUAUCCUUACAGCAGUACAUAGAUAAUCUGCGAUAAAAUCAGGUUCCUCUGGCUUCUCCUAGUGUGCCUAAUGGCAUGUGUAAGAAUCAAGUGUGAACCUAUCAUGACGUCACCCAUUGGUUUGUGGAGAACCGUUUUGAAGCCAUGACAGUAAAACGGAGCCAGCAC